Molecule: ribosomal RNA, 253 nt
Filed under: uncultured bacterium
Lineage: Bacteria
Description: partial 16S ribosomal RNA
Rfam family: Bacterial small subunit ribosomal RNA
Source: RNAcentral
UACGAAGGGGGCUAGCGUUGCUCGGAAUUAUUGGGCGUAAAGCGCACGUAGGCGGCUUGGCAAGUCGGAUGUGAAAUCCCUCGGCUCAACCAAGGAAGUGCAUCCGAAACUGCUGAGCUUGAGUACUUAAGAGGAUCGCGGAAUUCCCGGUGUAGAGGUGAAAUUCGUAGAUAUCGGGAGGAACACCAGUAGCGAAGGCGGCGUCCUGGACCGACACUGACGCUGAGGAGCGAAAGCCAGGGGAGCAAACGGG